UACCCGCUGUUUAAGCAUAUCACUGAGCGCAGGAAAAGAAACCAACCAGGAUUUCCCUAGUAGCGGCGAGCGAACCGGAAAGAGCCCAGCUUGAAAAUCGCGGCGCCCGGGGCGCCUCGAGUUGUAGUCUGGAGAAGGUCCCUCUGCGGCGCGCCGCACCCAAGUGCCCUGGAAAGGGACGUCCGAGAGGGUGAGAGCCCCGUCGCGUGCGGAGUGCGCCGCUCCACGAGGACCUGUCUGCGAGUCGGGCUGUUUGGGAAUGCAGCCCUAAGCGGGUGGUAAAUUCCAUCCAAGGCUAAAUAUGGGCAAGAGACCGAUAGCGAACAAGUACCGCGAGGGAAAGAUGAAAAGGACUUUGAAAAGAGAGUUAAAAAGUGCUUGAAAUUGCUGGGAGGGAAGCGAAUGGAAGCUGCGGGUGCGACCCGGUUGAAUGUGGAACGGCCUUCGAAAGAAGCUGGUCCGCCGAUCAACGCGGGGCGCUGGUCAGCGUGGGCCGUCGCGGCGGGACAAGAGCGGGGAUUCGCUUCCCGCCGAUGCCGCCGCGGCGGCCGAGGAACGAAGCGCGCGCCCUCCCUUCGCGGCGGGCGUGGGCCUCCGGGCCCAACUGCGCGCUCGAGACGCUGGCGCAUUGAGCUCUUCAUCCGACCCGUCUUGAAACACGGACCAAGGAGUCUAACAUGUAUGCGAGCCGGUGGGCGGCAAACCCAUUGAGGCGCAAGCAACCUGACAGGUGGGACCCCGACCGCUCGCGGGAGGAGCACCAUCGACCGACCGUGAUCUUCUGUGAAGGGUUCGAG
Molecule: ribosomal RNA, 797 nt
Filed under: Nyholmiella gymnostoma
Lineage: Eukaryota; Viridiplantae; Streptophyta; Bryopsida; Orthotrichales; Orthotrichaceae
Description: partial 26S ribosomal RNA
Rfam family: Eukaryotic large subunit ribosomal RNA
Source: RNAcentral